GCGGCUUAAUUUGACUCAACACGGGGAAACUCACCAGGUCCAGACAUAGUAAGGAUUGACAGAUUGAAAGCUCUUUCUAGAUUCUAUGGGUGGUGGUGCAUGGCCGUUCUUAGUUCGUGGAGUGAUUUGUCUGGUUAAUUCCGAUAACGAACGAGACCUUAUUCUGCUAAAUAGACAGAUCAAUUUUUUAAUUGAUAUAUGAUCUUCGGAUCUCUGGCUUCUUAGAGAGACUAUCGGCUUCAAGCCGAAGGAAGUUUUAGGCAAUAACAGGUCUGUGAUGCCCUUUAGAUGUUCUGGGCCGCACGCGCGCUACACUGAUGAAGUCAGCGAGUUUUUUUUCCUUGGCCGGAAGGUCUGGGUAAACUUUUGAAACUUCAUCGUGCUGGGGAUAGAGCAUUGCAAUUAUUGCUCUUCAACGAGGAAUUCCUAGUAAGCGCAAGUCAUCAGCUUGCGUUGAUUACGUCCCUGCCCUUUGUACACACCGCCCGUCGCUACUACCGAUUGAAUGGUUAUAGUGAGCAUAUGGGAUCAGUGGAAACCGACUGGCAACAGUUGGUUUCUGCAGAGAACUAUGGCAAACUAGGCUAUUUAGAGGAAGUAAAAGUCGUAACAAGGUUUCCGUAGGUGAACCUGCGGAAGGAUCAUUAAAUAAUGAUGGUUUAGCUUUCUCCUAAAAAAAGAAACUAAGCUUUAUCUUUUUACUGUGAAACGUUUUUUAUUUUGACCCUGGGUGGUUGACGCAAGUCUUCUGCCCAAGAGUGUUGCCAUAUAGACAGUGUCGCCCUAUUUCGUUCAUAGAGCUGUCAUAAUGGAUGAUUUAUUCACUCUUCGAUUUAGGUCAAGGGAGCUCUCCUUUUGAGCUUCUAUCUAUGAGACGAAAUGUUUAGAACUAUAUGAAUUUUAUCUGAGUGACAUUAAUAAUAAAGUUAAAAACAACUUUCAACAAUGGAUCUCUAGGUUCUCGCAUCGAUGAAGAACGUAGCAAAUUGCGAUAACUAGUGUGAAUUGCAUUUUCAGUGAAUCAUCGAGUCUUUGAACGCAUCUUGCACUCUAGGGUAUUCCCUAGAGUACGCCUGUUUCAGUGACAGAAAGACCCCUCGCCCUAAAAUUUUUUUUUUUUUGGCGGAUUUGACUAGUUGGCUUUUGUGAAAGAAAGCUAAUUAAAGUCUAAUAAUUGAUGGCUUAUUUUAACUGUAAGCUCUAUACAGGAUUACCUUGUAUCUUUUUGAUUUCACUAGGAUAUAAGCCUAUAUGGAGUUGGUUUCAAUUCGGGCCUAAACCCAAUUUUAUAAAUCAUAAUUUGUUCUGAAAUCAGGUGGGAUUACCCGCUGAACUUAAGCAUAUCAAUAAGCGGAGGAAAAGAAAAUAACAAUGAUUUCCCUAGUAACGGCGAGUGAAGAGGAAAGAGCUCAAAGUUGGAAUCCGGCUGCCUUAGGUAGUUGGAAUUGUAAACUGGAGAGGUGUUUUCCAGGCGAGCCAAGCAAAUAAGUCCUUUGGAACAGGGCAUCAUAGAGGGUGAGAAUCCCGUCUUUGGCUUGAGCAUUGCCUUUUGCGAUACACUUUCAAAGAGUCAGGUUGUUUGGGAAUGCAGCCUAAAUUGGGUGGUAAAUCUCACCUAAAGCUAAAUAUUGGCGAGAGACCGAUAGCGAACAAGUACCGUGAGGGAAAGAUGAAAAGAACUUUGAAAAGAGAGUUAAACAGUAUGUGAAAUUGUUGAAAGGGAACCGUUUGGAGCCAGACCGGCUGUUCUAUAAUCAAUCUCUGCUUCGGUAGGGAUGCACUUGUAGGGCUUUAGCCUGCCAACAGCAAUUUUCUUUGGUGGAAAAAACUAGAAGGAAUGUGGCCCCUCGGGGUGUUAUAGCCUUUUAGAAAAUACACUGAAGGGGAUUGAGGACUGCAGCAAAUGCUUUUGGCGAAAUAACUGGGUGCUUGUGUUAAGGAAGUAUAGAAUUUCUGCUUCGGGUGGUGCUAUGCUCUAAGAUGCAACUCGCUUAGACUAUUUUCUAUUUGCUUAGGUUGUUGGCUUAAUGACUCUAAAUGACCCGUCUUGAAACACGGACCAAGGAGUCCAUCAUAGGUGCAAGUCUUUGGGUUAAAAACUCAUAGGCGUAAGGAAACUGAUGGAUACGAAGGCCUCACGGCUGGCAGUAUCGUCCGGCAAUGACGUUUUAUACAGACUUGACCGAGAUAAAGCACUUAUGCUGGGACCCGAAAGAUGGUGAACUAUGCCUGAAUAGGGUGAAGCCAGAGGAAACUCUGGUGGAGGCUCGUAGCGAUUCUGACGUGCAAAUCGAUCGUCAAAUUUGGGUAUAGGGGCGAAAGACUAAUCGAACCC
Molecule: ribosomal RNA, 2335 nt
Filed under: uncultured fungus
Lineage: Eukaryota; Fungi
Description: bacterial SSU rRNA
Rfam family: Eukaryotic large subunit ribosomal RNA (bases 1302-2335)
Source: RNAcentral